Molecule: non-coding RNA, 303 nt
Organism: Pelobates cultripes (western spadefoot toad)
Lineage: Eukaryota; Metazoa; Chordata; Amphibia; Anura; Pelobatidae
Source: the annotation of a GenBank genome assembly
AAUAUUGGGACAUAUAAAAAAAGACAACUCUGUUCUGCAGAGUAGCUGUUGACAUUAUAGUUGCGCAGGAACUUUGUUGACUCUAGAGAACCUCGGGCAAAUCGCACAUCCCCGUGGCGGCGACUUUGCAUGCGGAUAUCAUCCAUAUCAACUUUCAAUGCCAGUUUCUGCGACUACCAUGGUGACCAUGGGUAAUGGGGAAUCAGGGUUCCAUUCCGUACAGGGACCCUGAGAAACGGCUACCACAUGCAAGGAAGGCAGCAGGCGCGCAAAUGACCCACUCCCGACGCGGGAAGGUAGUGA